CCCGGUGGUAAUCUUAACGGCCGCAGUUAGGAGCUGUGCUAAGGUAGCGUAAUCAGUUGUCCCUUAAAUGGGGAAAGGUAUGAAUGGUUUGACGUAAAGGUUUCUGUCUCGAAAGGAUUUUUAGAAGUUUUCUUCUUAGUGAAAAGUCUAAGGUUGAAUUAAAAGACGAGAAGACCCUUUUGAGCUUGAUUUACCCUUUUAUUUUUUGGGGGGGGAAAGUUUGGUUGGGGCAACUAAGGAGCAAAGGAAGCCUCCUUAUUGAUACAUGGAUCCAAAAAUUUUGAAUAAGGAAAAAGCUACCAUAGGGAUAACAGCGUUAUCUUUUCUGAGAGAACAAAUUGAAGAAAAG
This 349-nucleotide ribosomal RNA is filed under the name Galeommatoidea sp. UF436804. RNAcentral's name for it is "partial 16S ribosomal RNA". It matches the Rfam family "Bacterial large subunit ribosomal RNA", at positions 1862 to 2515 of the family's 2925-position model. The record is from RNAcentral. Lineage: Eukaryota; Metazoa; Mollusca; Bivalvia; Galeommatida.